Molecule: long non-coding RNA, 1695 nt
Organism: Mus spicilegus (steppe mouse)
Lineage: Eukaryota; Metazoa; Chordata; Mammalia; Rodentia; Muridae
Source: Ensembl
GAGGAUGACACUGGUGACUGCAAUGACAUGCUGUCAUUUUGUCCCCAGAACCCCUUGUUCAAAUAAUGCCAAGAGUCUCCAUGUGGGCAGGACAUAUAGAGCUUUCUAGAAUUGGCUGCAUCAGCUUUUGCCCUUUGAGAAGAUGCUGCAUUUGAGGCAUGGACCAUUGCAAGUCGCCAACAGGAAAGUUAAAGAAUAGAACUGCACCCUGUGGUGUAGUAUGAAUGUGUAAUAUAGAAUCUUAUUAUGUAUAAUAAAGACUAUGCAAAUAAAAUAUAGGAAAGGUUUAUCGCAAAAAAAAGAAGCGCUGUGCAAUCUAUGAUGUAUGAGUAGGCGUGAAUACUGACGUGAUAAGUAGGCGGGGCUAAAGGCCCGGCCAGCCCUUGAGGGCAAGGUGGGUUUGGGAGGACCACAGGCACAGCAGCUGUUUGUCAGGCAUUGCAUAAUGACACCAUCUGGCUGUGGACACCACACUUUAGGAUGCCACAGGAAGGAGCAGGCACCCUUGCCUUGAAGGCUCAGAACCAAAGGGGCUGUGCUGAAAUAUUUCAUUCCAGAGAUGGGCGAUGUACUUAAGUGAACAGAGGAGGAGCCUAGAGAGAGUAGACACUUUCUUUGCUUCCUGCUUGUGUCUGCUACACAUCCUCCCCAUGCCACAUCCUCCCAUCGCAAGCUCCUUCAGUUUUCUAACAGGUGGGCAGCUCGGCCUUCCUUGCUCUUUCAAUAACAGUGGGCAUGUUUAAGAAAAAGUAUUUAUUUCAUGAUAAAUGUUCAAGAUGAGAGUUAAAAACAUACUGAGACUCUUAUUAUAUCUUAAAUUCUUAUUAAAUCUUAAAUUCUAAUGUUGGAUUGUUCAAAACAGGGAAGGAGACCUGAACCCAUGAUAUAAGGAUGUAUGCUGAGAGGUACAUAUCAAGGUUCAUCCAUCUAUGCAUAGCUAUCCAAUUCAGACAUUAUGUGUCAUAGAUGCUGACUCUUUAAUAUGCAUUGUUGGCAUCGUUGUGAAAAAUCUGGUGGGUAUAGGAGUGUGGGCUUAUAUCUGAUUCCUCUUUUAAAAUAUGACUUUAGUUUCAUGGGUUUAUAUCUGAAUCUUCUAUUUUAUUGAGCUUCUGCCUGUUUCUGUGCUAGUACCAUGCUGUUUGGAUCACUAUGGCUCUGUGAUAACAUAACUACAGGUAUGUUAACAACUCCAGCACUAAUCUUUUUGCCCAUGAUUUUUCUGGUCUGUGGGAUAUUUUGUGUCUACACAUAAAUUUUUAGAUUUUUCUGUUUAUGUGAAGAAUAGCAUUGCACUUUUGAGACUGCACUGAACCUGUGUAUUUUAUUAGGCAGGCCGACCAUUACUUAAAAUAUUUUGUCCAUCCAUGAACAUGGGAGGUCUUUCUAUGUUCUAUUAUUUUCCUCUAUUUCCUUCUACAGUGUUUCUCAAGUUUUUAUUCUAUAGAUCUUUUAUUACCUUUGUUGGGUUUAUUCCAUGUAGUGUUUUUUUAAACAACUGUUAUUAGGAUCAUUUCUGUCACUUCAUUUUCAGUAUACUUGCCCUUCAACUAUAGGAAGAGUACUACUUAAGUUCUGUUAAUAACUAUUUAGUUCUGUUAAUAACUAUUUAAGUUCUGUUAAUAACACAUCUCAUUGCUAUGUUGAAAAUGUUUUUCAACUGGAUGAGUUCUCUAGUGGAGUCAGGGUCUUUAAUGU